RNAcentral lists this ribosomal RNA (501 nucleotides) under uncultured bacterium. RNAcentral's name for it is "partial 16S ribosomal RNA". It matches the Rfam family "Bacterial small subunit ribosomal RNA", at positions 29 to 523 of the family's 1533-position model. The record is from RNAcentral.
AUUGAACGCUGGCGGCGUGCUUAACACAUGCAAGUCGAUCGGUAACAGGUGUAGCAAUACAUGCUGACGAGAGGCGGACGGGUGAGGAAUAUUUGGGAAUCUGCCCAUCAGCGGGGACAACCCGGGGAAACCCGGGCUAAUACCGCAUACGCUCUACGGAGGAAAGCCGGGGACCGCCAGGCCUGGCACUGAUGGAUGAGCCCAAAUCGGAUUAUCUAAGUGGCGGGGUAACGGCCCACCAAGGCGACGAUCCGUAGCUGGUCUGAGAGGACUAUCAGCCACACCGGAACUGAGACACGGUCCGGACUCCUACGGGAGGCAGCAGUGGGGAAUAUUGGACAAUGGGGGAAACCCUGAUCCAGCGACGCCGCGUGGGUGAAGAAGGCCUGCGGGUUGUAAAGCCCUUUCGGUAGGGACGAAAGCUCUUGCUCUAAUAAUGCAAGAGGUUGACUUAACCUACAUAAGAAGCACCGGCUAACUCUGUGCCAGCAGCCGCCGUAA